RNAcentral lists this transfer RNA (76 nucleotides) under Hymenobacter canadensis. Its description in RNAcentral is "Hymenobacter sp. PAMC 29467 tRNA-Glu". It matches the Rfam family "tRNA". From Rfam's summary of the family: Transfer RNA (tRNA) molecules are approximately 80 nucleotides in length. Their secondary structure includes four short double-helical elements and three loops (D, anti-codon, and T loops). The record is from RNAcentral. Lineage: Bacteria; Pseudomonadati; Bacteroidota; Cytophagia; Cytophagales; Hymenobacteraceae.
UCUGAUAUAGCUCAGUGGUAGAGCGCCCGGCUCUCGGUCCGGGUGGACGCAGGUUCGAGCCCUGCUAUCAGAACCA